This 1177-nucleotide long non-coding RNA is filed under the name Anas platyrhynchos platyrhynchos (common mallard). RNAcentral's name for it is "lncRNA (ENSAPLG00000022955.1)". The record is from RNAcentral. Lineage: Eukaryota; Metazoa; Chordata; Aves; Anseriformes; Anatidae.
ACAUUUCUAUUCCCAAAUUUUGAAGCUUUCUGAGCAUGCUGUGGGCAGAUUUAUGGCACAUGCUUUACCUGGACAGAUGAACAAAAAAAUUGGGGGUUUCUGUGCUGUUAAAAGCCAUGCCUUGAUGGUAGGUUGCUGUAUAUUAUAAGCAGUAUAUUUAAUUGUAUGUUCACAGAAGCGUAUGAAAUACAAUGUCUUUUGUGUUAUGGCACGGUCUGCUUGCUCUGCCACCAUCAGGCAGACAGUGGAUAUGUGAAGGGGUAAAGAAAUAUUCAAUUUGUCUACCAAAUGCAAAUGCAUAAUGGUAUAGGAGGAUGAAGGCCUGUAAUCAAAGUGCUAAUAACAGUGAGGCCUGUUUUAGAAGAAACAGUGAAAAAAAAAAAAACACAUGUAAAGACACAAAGUUGUUGUCACGCAUCAGAAAUAGUAAUUGAAUUUUUAUCGCUUCUGACCCCCUGUAACCAGAAUAAAUAUAGUAGAGUUGCAUAAGUGCAAUUAAGAUUGUACUUGGGGCUAAAAAAUAGUAUCAGUACCAUAAAACUAAUGCUUAAAGUUGGUUGACUGAGAUGGGAUAUUUCAGUACGUACACUGGAACAUGAAUAUUUAUUGAAGGCAUUUAUGCUUUGAAUAAAACAUCUGAGUCAUGAGCACAUGAAGCUUUAAGCUUCCGCAUUUUAAAAUCCAUGUUGAACACAAACAGUUAAAUGUCUGAUUUCAACUUAAGAUUGUAAUGAACAGCAGACAGAUCGUGUCUUCACCUUGAGAAGCAACACUUUGACUGCUGAUCAGACUUUUGGGUGCCUGUGAGCAGUAGCUGAGGAUAUGUGAAGGCAGUAUUUAAAUAAUGCAGAAAAGACCUGUUUCUUUAGCUGCCUCCCUCAUUGACAUCAUCGAAGAAGUGAGAGGUACCACGGGAGAUGCAGAAGAAAGCAGCGAUGUUCUGAUGUGCAUGUGGUCACCCGGGGCCUGUUUUGCAGAGUCCCAUGGGUCUGAUCUGAAGACUAUUGAAAUCAAUGGAACAAUUCACAGUGCUUUCAGAGAAUACUGGAAAUGCAUUAAAAGCAUGUUGGGGCACAUUCAAGUUGAAGAUAUUUCCCGCAAGGUCUCAUUCAUGCUACAGUCACACCAGGACAACAACUCCAACAUACAGCAAACUAAUGUCAAACAAAUUUUCUGA